AGACACGUACCCCGACUUACUGCAUGGAGCCCAACUUCUUCAACAACUCGGAGCUCAUGCUCCUCUGCAAGGACGGCAGCGCCGUUCGUGCCAUCGAUGUCUUGAAGGACGCGGAGUACGUGCUUAUGUACUUUUCCGCACGCUGGUGCCCGCCGUGCCGCGCCUUCACCCCGCUGCUGAAGAGCUUCUACGAGACUCACCACGCCAAGAAGAAGUUCGAGGUUGUGUUCAUGUCAUUGGAUCGAUCUGAGGAGGAGAUGAUGAGCUACUUUCGUGAGUCGCACGGGGACUACUACUGCCUGCCGUACGCGGAUGCCAGGUCGAUGGCGCGGGUGUGGGGCGACACAUACAAUAUCAAGAUCAUUCCUACGCUUCUCGUGUUCGAGAACGCAAAUCCGCGCAAGCUGAUUGCGCGAUGCGGCCGGGAAAUGGUCACCCAAGACCCGUUCGGAAAGUUUUUUCCUUGGCCCGAUGCAGAGCCGCAGCAGCCGGCUGAGUCAUUCAUUUUGGACUACACCCGUAAGGCAGCCAUUGUGCUGGGCAUCUUGGUUCUCCUCUACUCACUGAGCAAGCGCAGCUCGUGAUGUACGUUGAACUAGUGCUGAUGUGUCAGCGCAAACGGGUCGAUCAAAUACGAGUGAGUGAGCGGGCGAGCGUUAGAUUGAGGACAGCGCCGUCCUUGCUCCUCGUGCAAAACGUGAUGUGCUUCAAGCCGGCCACGGCGGUCGGCAUCGCUGACUUCUCUUUCUCCCGAGCGCCAACACGCACACACUCUCUACGCCCUCUUUUGCUUACUCCUUCCGGGCGGAAAGGGCGUCGUGGUACCGACUUAACUUCCUGUUUACGCGGCCAAGACGUCGUGCACUCUCUUACGCGUGCCCAUGCUUGUGCAGACUACUGAAAUGGUCCAGUGCGAUCUUUUCACCAGCGUUUCCACGUGCGCCUGUUGCGCUGGGCUCUACCAGGAAAUC
RNAcentral lists this unclassified non-coding RNA (971 nucleotides) under Leishmania donovani. Its description in RNAcentral is "gene:LdHU3.31.3580(CDS-product:tryparedoxin_3_put ative)". The record is from RNAcentral. Lineage: Eukaryota; Euglenozoa; Kinetoplastea; Trypanosomatida; Trypanosomatidae.